CUAUAUUUCAUUCAACAAUCUUUAACAUUGAGAAUGAUUUCACACCUGAAGAAGAAGAAGCGAUUCGCAAGGAGAACGCUUGGACUUUUGGGGCUGAUUCAAAAACAGAAGAUCCAAAACCCUAGUUUUUUAAAAAAAAACCUGGCUUUGUGUUUCGUUUCGUUUUUCUUUUUCCUUUUCCAUAUAUGAUUUGGUGAAUGAUUUGUUUCCGUUUUCUCAAGUGUGAUAUUGACUUUUGGUCUCUUUAAUUUCGUUGUUAAUUUUCACUUAAAUAAAAUAAAUCUAAGUAGUUAAUUUGGUCGUCUAAGUAAGUUUUUGAUCUCUCUUCUUAGUGAAUCUAUAUUUACAAGUCGUAUUAAGCGGGAGGGUGAACGUGCUUCUUGCCAAGGUGAGACAAGACGAGAGAGAGGAGGAGAUAUAAAAAAUCAGAAAGACCAACAAUUGGCCGCCUCCUCCUAAUCAAAGAAAAUGCCGGAAAAAAAGAAGAAGAAGGAAAGCAUCCAAAAUGGAGAAAACUUUCGUCAUGAUCAAACCCGACGGUGUCCAGAGGCGACUAAUGCCUGAAAUUAUCAGAAGGUUUGAAGAGAAGCGUUUCACUUUGAAGGGUAUAAUUGAUUCCAAACUUGCUUGAGUGAUUUGAUUGAGUCAACUGAGUGGGGAUGUACAGGCAUGAAGAUGAUGAGUGUUGAAGCACUACGAGGAGCUGUCUGGCGAGCACGUAUUCGGGCGUCUGGUUGAUUACAUUGUGUCGUCCGGGCCUGUUGUUGCAAUGAUAUGGGAGGGGGAGAAUGUUGUGGAGACAGUGAGAGAGAUGAUUGGACCCACAAGACCAUCAGACUGCGAGUAUGCAACCAUCCGUGGGGAAUUUGGUAUUGACAAGAUCAGGAAUGUGAUCCAUGGGAGUUACUCUGCCGAGAUUGCAAACAAGGAGAUUGCAUCUGGGACAAAAAAAAUCAACAAUCAUUGGUACAAGUUCGAUUGUUGAUCCUUCGGGGUGAGUUUUUCUUUUAAAUAAGGUUUUAGGGGUGAAUCCAAAUAAGCAAGAAACUUUUUUUUUAGGUUGUUUACUACGACUAGUAUCAUAGUGUCUUGUACUGUUAUUUACACGGGGCUUGAUGGUGGAGACUCUCGACUCGAGAGUAAGUUUGGUGUUGCAUGCUGACAUAGAUGAGGUCUCUAAACUUCGUUUGUGGGAGUCAUUAAUGAAAGUUCGAGCUUCUAUA
This is a long non-coding RNA of Arabidopsis lyrata subsp. lyrata, 1223 nucleotides long. RefSeq lists it as uncharacterized. Lineage: Eukaryota; Viridiplantae; Streptophyta; Magnoliopsida; Brassicales; Brassicaceae. The transcript has 2 exons. The record is from RefSeq and is a predicted model, not a curated record.